CCUACGGGAGGCAGCAGGGAGGAAUAGUGGUCAAUGGACGGAAGUCUGAACCAGCCAUGCCGCGUGCAGGAAGACGGCUCUAGGAGUUGUAAACUGCUUUUGUACAAGGGUAAACCGGAAUACGUGUAUUCAGCUGAAAGUACGGUACGAAUAAGGAUCGGCUAACUCCGUGCCAGCAGCCGCGGUAAUACGGAGGAUCCAAGCGUUAUCCGGAUUUAUUGGGUUGAAAGGGUGCGUAGGCGGCUUGAUAAGUUAGAGGUGAAAUGUCCGAGCUUACCUCGGGAACUGCCUCUAAUACUGUUGCUCUAGUGCGUAGUUGCGUUAGGCGGACUGUUUGGUGUAGCGG
RNAcentral lists this ribosomal RNA (346 nucleotides) under uncultured bacterium. Its description in RNAcentral is "partial 16S ribosomal RNA". It matches the Rfam family "Bacterial small subunit ribosomal RNA", at positions 338 to 681 of the family's 1533-position model. The record is from RNAcentral.